AUUGAACGCUGGCGGCAGGCCUAACACAUGCAAGUCGAACGGUAACAGGAAGAAGCUUGCUUCUUUGCUGACGAGUGGCGGACGGUGAGUAAUGUCUGGGAAACUGCCUGAUGGAGGGGGAUAACUACUGGAAACGGUAGCUAAUACCGCAUAACGUCGCAAGACCAAAGAGGGGGACCUUCGGGCCUCUUGCCAUCGGAUGUGCCCAGAUGGGAUUAGCUAGUAGGUGGGGUAACGGCUCACCUAGGCGACGAUCCCUAGCUGGUCUGAGAGGAUGACCAGCCACACUGGAACUGAGACACGGUCCAGACUCCUACGGGAGGCAGCAGUGGGGAAUAUUGCACAAUGGGCGCAAGCCUGAUGCAGCCAUGCCGCGUGUAUGAAGAAGGCCUUCGGGUUGUAAAGUACUUUCAGCGGGGAGGAAGGGAGUAAAGUUAAUACCUUUGCUCAUUGACGUUACCCGCAGAAGACGCACCGGCUAACUCCGUG
RNAcentral lists this ribosomal RNA (489 nucleotides) under uncultured bacterium. Its description in RNAcentral is "partial 16S ribosomal RNA". It matches the Rfam family "Bacterial small subunit ribosomal RNA", at positions 30 to 507 of the family's 1533-position model. The record is from RNAcentral.